CUUCUGGUUAGCAGGGGGAUUCUUUACCACUGAGCCACCUGGGAAGCCCUGCUUCAGGAUACUCUUGCUUAUUUGCAUUGUUUAGGACUUAUUCCCCUAAUCAUAUAUAAUUACAAGGGAGACUGAGGAAUUGUCUUUAGUUUGGGAGGCCCUGUGCCUGGCUGAAAAUUCUAACCUGACUGGGAAAAUGGAUAUUUGGAGUUAACUAGCAAUUUCUGCCACAUUCUGAUUGAACCAUGGUGCCAUUGGGAGCUGCCUUCUUGCAGGAACACAGAUUCAUCAAAUAAUAUUGAUCUGAACAGUCUCUGCGUGAUAACUGCACCUCCAGAAUAAAGGCCGACUUCUCAACCACACUGGGACACACUAUUAAUGAUUACAUUGUCAAUGCAAAGUCAAAAAACAAAAACUGUCCCUCCACCUCUCACUGUAUUUCUUCCCCUCAUCACAUUUUUAGGAGAGUUUGCUCUCACUGACUCACUUCCUCACUUCUUAUUUUUAUCUUCAACCUUCUCUAAAAUGGAUUGUCCCUGACUACUUCACUGUUCUUGCAAACACUAACAGUGACCCAUGAAGCCAAAUUAAUCAGGUGCUUUCUGUCAUCUUCCUUGGUUUCUCAGCAUCUGGCAAAGCUGACACUUCCUCUUUCUUGAAAUGCUGUCUUCCUUUGGAUUCCAUGACACAACAUUGUUCCAGAAGCUUUGUGUAAAUCUCCUUUGUGUACUUCUCCUCUAUCAGAACACAAAAUGGUGGAUCUCCUAAGAGCUCAGUUCUAAGUCCUUCUCUCCUCCACAAUUAUACAUAGAUAAACUCAUCUAUUGCAGGCUUUAAUUAUCACAUGUGCUGAAGACCCCCAAAACUCUAUCUGUAAUUUGAUCUUUAUUCUGUUUUGCAGUAUCUUCCUUUUCUUUCAGUGUCAGAGUAAACAAGUAACUUGUAUUUGACUAGCCAAAGCUGGUUAUUAUCCAUCUGUAUGCACAGAAAUUUUAAAACACAUAUGAGCUUGUCAGCAAACCAUAAACCGUGUGCCAUAUUAAGACAAAAAAAUACUAUUAUAGCUUAUAAUCAUAGUAUUUAGGCUUUCAUUUCUUAAACUGUCAACCAAUAUGGCUCCUUUGUGGUUGAGAAGGUUCAUAUGACUGGUUCUAGCCCACUAGUGAGUGAGUUGUGGUUGGAACUACCACGUCAUGGCUAGAACACAUAAUCACCAGUCUGAGACCUUCUGGAGCCAUCUUUUCUCUCUUGACAGCCAACAGUAUUCAAGAUGGUGGCUGGUCUCUUAGCCUAGAUCCUUAAGUGACUAAAAUUAAAUUAGUCACCCCUCUAAACCUCUCCCUCAACCCCUCACAAAGUAAUGAAGGUAGUGUAGUAUGAGGAAGAAAACAAACUGGUCAUUUAGGCACAGACUUUGGGCAUUUGUUGCCAUGACAUAAGCCAUCUGAAAUACCCAUCCCAACUGAUAUACAUGUUGGUACCAGCAGUAAAUGCUAUUGAACAGAAACCUAAACAAACUUGAGGCGCUGGAUUAGGGACUGGCAGCAGGUGGCAAAGAAACUGUUAUCAAAGGAUGGAAGGAUGGUGAUUGAUCUUGUGAAGAAGUGAACCUUUGGUCACCCGACAACUUGGAAGCUACUGCGCACAGCAAGAAUUCCUGUGUGAUGUUCUUAGGCACCCAAGUUCUCCAGGCAGAGGCUCGGUUGGAGGCAGUGGGCCUGGAGCCAUAGCUGGUGAUGUGGGACUUGCUGGCCCCCAGGGAGUGGAAAUAGAAGAAAAAUGGAAAGAAGAGACCAUGUGAGGACCUAGGGAGAAGGCAGCCCUUGACAAGCCAUGGAGAGAUGCUUCACCAGAAACCAACCCUGCUGGCACCUUGACCCUGGGCUUCCAGCCUCCAGAACUGGGAGAAGGUACAUGUCUAUUGAAGCCACGCAGACCAUGGUAUUUUGUUAUACAGCCUCAACAGUCUAAGACUCCUAAGCACCCCAAAUUUAAUGCCUUCUGGGGACCCAAGCAAGUCAGGUGCUACCUGUGUCCUGAACCUCCGGCCACGGGAGUUACAGUCCCAUACUUCCUUCUUGCCAUUAUCCUCCAAAACCAGGCUUCAGCUUCCCUCCCUACAUUCCCUUAGUCCUUGUUCCUAUAUUUCUCCUGGGACUUACUGUCUCAUCCCAUUUGCCCAAAGACCAAUCUGCGGCUCAGAGACAUUCUUUAUGAGGAUUUUUUUUUAAAUGCCAUUUCUCCACUGAUGGUCCCAUGUCAAGCAGCUUCACACAUGAACUAUAAAUUGUUUGUGUAUAUGUGGGAAUGCUCACACCAAGGAAAGAGGCCAAGGUUCACCUGCCCUGUCCUCAAUCUGGAAGGACAGAAACGCUGUACGGAGGCUCUAAAAGCUCCUUAUCGAGGCUGAGCUGAUUCUGAGGAAGGACUGGACCCCUCAAGGUUCUGGAAGUAAUCAUCCUGUUUCCUGGGAGUCCAUUCUCAGCCUGAGGGUUUUCUCUCUCUCUCUUUUUUUGGCCACUCUACCCAGCAUGUGGGGUUCCCUGACUAAGGAUUGAACUUGUG
Odocoileus virginianus texanus is the source of this 2556-nucleotide long non-coding RNA. RefSeq lists it as uncharacterized. Lineage: Eukaryota; Metazoa; Chordata; Mammalia; Artiodactyla; Cervidae. The record is from RefSeq and is a predicted model, not a curated record.